This 485-nucleotide ribosomal RNA is filed under the name Penicillium dipodomyicola. RNAcentral describes it as "eukaryotic LSU rRNA". The stretch from base 121 to 273 matches the Rfam family "5.8S ribosomal RNA". Lineage: Eukaryota; Fungi; Ascomycota; Eurotiomycetes; Eurotiales; Aspergillaceae. The record is from RNAcentral.
UUCGGCGGGCCCGCCUUAACUGGCCGCCGGGGGGCUCACGCCCCCGGGCCCGCGCCCGCCGAAGACACCCUCGAACUCUGUCUGAAGAUUGUAGUCUGAGUGAAAAUAUAAAUUAUUUAAAACUUUCAACAACGGAUCUCUUGGUUCCGGCAUCGAUGAAGAACGCAGCGAAAUGCGAUACGUAAUGUGAAUUGCAAAUUCAGUGAAUCAUCGAGUCUUUGAACGCACAUUGCGCCCCCUGGUAUUCCGGGGGGCAUGCCUGUCCGAGCGUCAUUGCUGCCCUCAAGCACGGCUUGUGUGUUGGGCCCCGUCCUCCGAUUCCGGGGGACGGGCCCGAAAGGCAGCGGCGGCACCGCGUCCGGUCCUCGAGCGUAUGGGGCUUUGUCACCCGCUCUGUAGGCCCGGCCGGCGCUUGCCGAUCAACCCAAAUUUUUAUCCAGGUUGACCUCGGAUCAGGUAGGGAUACCCGCUGAACUUAAGCAUAU